Molecule: ribosomal RNA, 253 nt
Filed under: uncultured bacterium
Lineage: Bacteria
Description: partial 16S ribosomal RNA
Rfam family: Bacterial small subunit ribosomal RNA
Source: RNAcentral
UACGUAGGUGGCAAGCGUUGUUCGGAAUUAUUGGGCGUAAAGGGCGCGUAGGCGGCCUUCUAAGUCGAACGUGAAAUCCCCGGGCUCAACCCGGGAACUGCGUCCGAUACUGGAAGGCUUGAAUCCGGGAGAGGGAUGUGGAAUUCCAGGUGUAGCGGUGAAAUGCGUAGAUAUCUGGAGGAACACCGGUGGCGAAGGCGACAUCCUGGACCGGUAUUGACGCUGAGGCGCGAAAGCCAGGGGAGCAAACAGG